This 120-nucleotide ribosomal RNA is filed under the name Salvator merianae (Argentine black and white tegu). The record is from RNAcentral. Lineage: Eukaryota; Metazoa; Chordata; Lepidosauria; Squamata; Teiidae.
GCUUACGGCAGCAUUUAGGCUGCCUCACACUGAUCCCAACUAUUCUCAGAAGAUAAGCAGGGCUGAUCCUGGUCUGAUUUCAGAAAAGAGACUGCCAGGGAAUACCAGGUGCUGUAGGUU